Molecule: ribosomal RNA, 253 nt
Filed under: uncultured bacterium
Lineage: Bacteria
Description: partial 16S ribosomal RNA
Rfam family: Bacterial small subunit ribosomal RNA
Source: RNAcentral
UACGGAGGGUGCAAGCGUUGUUCGGAUUUAUUGGGCGUAAAGGGCGUGUAGGCGGUUCGUUAAGUCUGAUGUGAAAGCCCCGGGCUCAACCCGGGAAGUGCAUUGGAAACUGGCGAACUUGAGUACGGGAGAGGGCAGUGGAAUUCCUAGUGUAGGAGUGAAAUGCGUAGAGAUCCGGAGGAACACCAAAGGCGAAGGCAGUGUCCUGGGGAGUACCUGACGCUCAGGUGCGAAAGCCAGGGGAGCGAACAGG